CUGUGAGGUUGAGCUAAUCCCAAAAAGCCGGUCUCAGUUCGGAUUGGGGUCUGCAACUCGACCCCAUGAAGUCGGAGUCGCUAGUAAUCGCAGAUCAGCAACGCUGCGGUGAAUACGUUCCCGGGCCUUGUACACACCGCCCGUCAAGUCACGAAAGUUGGUAACACCCGAAGCCGAUGGCCUAACCCGUUUGGGAGGGAGUCGUCGAAGGUGGGAUUGGCGAUUGGGACUAAGUCGUAACAAGGUAUC
This 249-nucleotide ribosomal RNA is filed under the name uncultured bacterium. RNAcentral's name for it is "partial 16S ribosomal RNA". It matches the Rfam family "Bacterial small subunit ribosomal RNA", at positions 1255 to 1500 of the family's 1533-position model. The record is from RNAcentral.